Molecule: ribosomal RNA, 657 nt
Filed under: uncultured bacterium
Lineage: Bacteria
Description: bacterial SSU rRNA
Rfam family: Bacterial small subunit ribosomal RNA
Source: RNAcentral
CGCCUAAUACAUGCAAGUCGAGCGCAGGAAGCUCACGGAACUCUUCGGAGGGAAGUGAAGGGAAUGAGCGGCGGACGGGUGAGUAACACGUAAGGAACCUGCCCCAAGGAUUGGGAUAACUCCGAGAAAUCGGAGCUAAUACCGAAUAGUUCUUCAGACCGCAUGGUCUGAUGAUGAAAGGCGCUCCGGCGUCACCUUGGGAUGGCCUUGCGGUGCAUUAGCUAGUUGGUGGGGUAAUGGCCCACCAAGGCGACGAUGCAUAGCCGACCUGAGAGGGUGAUCGGCCACACUGGGACUGAGACACGGCCCAGACUCCUACGGGAGGCAGCAGUAGGGAAUCUUCCACAAUGGACGAAAGUCUGAUGGAGCAACGCCGCGUGAGUGAUGAAGGUUUUCGGAUCGUAAAACUCUGUUGUAAGGGAAGAACGAGUACGAGAGGAAAUGCUCGUACCUUGACGGUACCUUGCGAGAAAGCCACGGCUAACUACGUGCCAGCAGCCGCGGUAAUACGUAGGUGGCAAGCGUUGUCCGGAAUUAUUGGGCGUAAAGCGCGCGCAGGCGGCCUUUUAAGUCUGAUGUGAAAGCCCCCGGCUCAACCGGGGAGGGUCAUUGGAAACUGGAAGGCUUGAGUACAGAAGAGAAGAGUGGAAUUCCAUG